CCCACAUUGCCUGCCUGUCCCACCCUGGACUGUGCCAUGCACGCCGGCGUGUGGUUCUGGGGGUGUGGGUGGGAGUGGAUGUGUGCCAAGGCCAUCACUUCCUUACACACACACACACACACACACACACACACACACACACGGUCCCAGAGAGCUGUCUCCAUAGACACCAAUGGGGGGCGUGCCCCAGGCCCCCGCCCCCCAUCCUAGGAGUGGGACUCUGGGCCAGCCGGGGUGGGAGCUGGACAGGCAGCCCCUUCACGUGGGGACCCGGCUGGCACCCACUCCAUCGCCCGCGUUACCCCAACCCCACCAGGGAUACUGCCCACCUGCCGUGUUCCCACCCACCUCUGGCCCUUGGGGACUAUUCUGUCUGCAGGACAUGACCUCAAGGAACACAGGCAGCAGAGCAGUAGGGUGAUGACUCUUGGGGCCCCGGCUGGGCUCUGAGCUGGCCCCACCCGGCAGAAGGUACUAGGUGCCCCCACCACUGGUCUGACAUCAGCAUCACCCCGGCCCCCCAGAAGCCACCUAAACCAUCAGCACCACCAUGUCCCUGUCCCCUUAAUGUCGCGUCAUCCUCCUCUGACCAGUGCUCCACCCCGCCAGCCCAGCGCCACCACCAACGUCCUCAGUGCUGUGAUGUCACGCAUCACGGCAGCAGGGACGGGGGGCACACGGCGCGGGUCUGUGGCCAACCCUGCCUUCUCCAGACACACCCCAGACACCACUGUGGCCCGGCUGCCACCCGCCACGCACCCUCCCUGCAGCACCGUGGGCUCUCCCUGUGCCAGGCACCAGGCUCCUCUCAGACCACCCGGAGGCCCUUGUCACCUCCCUGGAGACCACCGACCGCUCCCACAACCGCAUCCUUGCCGCCGAACUGGAAUCUGCUGUUCCGCUCUCUCCCCUGCCCGCAGCGCUCCAGGCCGGGCCAGGCCCCAGAGGUAAGGGCUGCACCUGCCAGUCCCCGGGUCCUUGAGCCAAGGGUGCCGGAGCACAGGAGGCAAGAGCCCGCCCGUGUCCCCUGGCCCCACCUGGGGAGACCCCGGGCCUCCACUCGCCCAGAGAUCUCCUGUAGCCCGUUGACCGGAAGCGACCGUCACGUGCCCAAAGUACUGUGCCUCUUGCUCCUAAGUGAAGUCCGGCAGGCUUGUCCAUUCAUCCGUCCACUCGGCCUCCGGCUCAUUCGCUUACCCAAGUGUGUGUCUGGCUGGCCGGGAGGACAUUCUGAGUCCAGGGAUUCAGAAGGCGGUGUGUUGGGGGAUGGGGUUCUGGCAUCCGGAAGGCUCAGUAUUGCUCAGAGCUGGAGACCACGGGAGCGAAGACCGCUGCCAG
This 1338-nucleotide long non-coding RNA is filed under the name Felis catus (domestic cat). Its description in RNAcentral is "lncRNA (ENSFCAG00000040329.2)". Lineage: Eukaryota; Metazoa; Chordata; Mammalia; Carnivora; Felidae. The record is from RNAcentral.